RNAcentral lists this ribosomal RNA (447 nucleotides) under uncultured bacterium. RNAcentral describes it as "bacterial SSU rRNA". It matches the Rfam family "Bacterial small subunit ribosomal RNA", at positions 355 to 825 of the family's 1533-position model. The record is from RNAcentral.
UGGGGAAUCUUGGACAAUGGGCGAAAGCCUGAUCCAGCAAUGCCGCGUGAGUGAUGAAGGCCUUAGGGUUGUAAAGCUCUUUUACCAGGGAUGAUAAUGACAGUACCUGGAGAAUAAGCUCCGGCUAACUCCGUGCCAGCAGUCGCGGUAAUACGGAGGGAGCUAGCGUUGUUCGGAAUUACUGGGCGUAAAGCGUACGUAGGCAGUGACUCAAGUCAGAGGUGAAAGCCUGGAGCUCAACUCCAGAACUGCCUUUGAAACUAGGUCGCUAGAAUCACGGAGAGGUGAGUGGAAUUCCGAGUGUAGAGGUGAAAUUCGUAGAUAUUCGGAAGAACACCAGUGGCGAAGGCGGCUCACUGGACGUGUAUUGACGCUGAGGUACGAAAGCGUGGGGAGCAAACAGGAUUAGAUACCCCCGUAGUCCCUGAGCGGGCUGGCAAGGCGCAU